Paramuricea clavata is the source of this 491-nucleotide non-coding RNA. The record is from the annotation of a GenBank genome assembly. NCBI's taxonomy places the organism in Eukaryota, Metazoa, Cnidaria, Anthozoa, Malacalcyonacea, Plexauridae.
AAAAAAAACCUUGCUCAAAAACAACGUGUUGUUCAAAUCCUUAUUCAGCACAAUGCAAACAUUUAUGUAAACGAUUUGUUUGGGGUUUCCGCCUUGACAUGGCUGAGCGUCAGGGACACGACUCAUGGUUUAAAAACCGACGAAGCAUCAUUGACGGGGAUACGCUCAUAGAAAAAAAAACCAGAUCGUGCUCCGAAGAAAACUAAAGUCAACUUCAAUCUGGACAAGUCCCUUAUUCAAAAGAAAGCAAGACUCGUACGAGAAACUCUUUGUCUUUGGAAAACUUACAUCUAGUAAUAAAAAUCUUAAACUUUCUCUAAUACUUGGAACUCAAAAACUAAUCUAAGCACCCAACGCAGGUAUGAACUUUCAAUGACCCAGACCAAUCGUUAAAUUUAAAAGACUCUUUAUACCAUCCAUGCUAUACCGUACUUAUCGUCGUAAUCAAGACAGUUGUGGUGUGUAAAUAGCAAACAUAUAAGUAAUUUUAC